UUUUAGCCCUGAUGGGAACGGCAUCCUUUUAUGGCAGUCCCGAUAGCUAUCGGGAUGCCAUAAAAGAUAUAGUGUACAGCAGGAUUAGCU
Molecule: small RNA, 90 nt
Organism: Flavobacterium sp. KMS
Lineage: Bacteria; Pseudomonadati; Bacteroidota; Flavobacteriia; Flavobacteriales; Flavobacteriaceae
Rfam family: Flavo-1 RNA
Source: Rfam